UUAACACAAAUUUGUAUGGAGUUAGAACGUUUGCUUACAUUCGCCGUUAAGAGCGCCGUUCCAACUGCAUACAAAUUUGAGUUA
Non-coding RNA from Bombyx mori (domestic silkworm), 84 nucleotides. The record is from Rfam. NCBI's taxonomy places the organism in Eukaryota, Metazoa, Arthropoda, Insecta, Lepidoptera, Bombycidae.